GGGCUCAACAAGCAGAAUACAAUAUACUAUAAAAAAUUGAAAUCCAAGAUGGCGGCCGCUACAAAAUGGCGGAUAACGUAGGUUUUAUUAAUCCCAUCAAUAUGGGUAUCAAAUGAAAGGGCUCAACAAGCAGAAUACAAUAUACUAUAAAAAAUUGAAAUACAAGAUGGCGGCCGCAACAAAAUGGCGGAUAACGUAGGUUUUAUCAAUCCCAUCAACAUGGGUAUCAAAUGAAAGGUCUCAACAAGUAGAAUACAAUUUA
This 262-nucleotide unclassified non-coding RNA is filed under the name Melitaea cinxia (Glanville fritillary). RNAcentral's name for it is "misc RNA ENSMCXG00005020864.1". Lineage: Eukaryota; Metazoa; Arthropoda; Insecta; Lepidoptera; Nymphalidae. The record is from RNAcentral.